UACGGGAGGNCAGCAGUGGGGAAUAUUGGACAAUGGGCGAAAGCCUGAUCCAGCCAUGCCGCGUGUGUGAAGAAGGUCUUCGGAUUGUAAAGCACUUUAAGUUGGGAGGAAGGGCAUUAACCUAAUACGUUAGUGUUUUGACGUUACCGACAGAAUAAGCACCGGCUAACUCUGUGCCAGCAGCCGCGGUAAUACAGAGGGUGCAAGCGUUAAUCGGAAUUACUGGGCGUAAAGCGCGCGUAGGUGGUUUGUUAAGUUGGAUGUGAAAUCCCCGGGCUCAACCUGGGAACUGCAUUCAAAACUGACUGACUAGAGUAUGGUAGAGGGUGGUGGAAUUUCCUGUGUAGCGGUGAAAUGCGUAGAUAUAGGAAGGAACACCAGUGGCGAAGGCGACCACCUGGACUAAUACUGACACUGAGGUGCGAAAGCGUGNGGNGCAAACNGGAUUAGAUGNCCUGGUAGU
RNAcentral lists this ribosomal RNA (463 nucleotides) under Pseudomonas fluorescens. RNAcentral's name for it is "bacterial SSU rRNA". It matches the Rfam family "Bacterial small subunit ribosomal RNA", at positions 340 to 794 of the family's 1533-position model. Lineage: Bacteria; Pseudomonadati; Pseudomonadota; Gammaproteobacteria; Pseudomonadales; Pseudomonadaceae. The record is from RNAcentral.